RNAcentral lists this transfer RNA (57 nucleotides) under Bos taurus (domestic cattle). It matches the Rfam family "tRNA", at positions 8 to 63 of the family's 71-position model. Rfam says of the family: Transfer RNA (tRNA) molecules are approximately 80 nucleotides in length. Their secondary structure includes four short double-helical elements and three loops (D, anti-codon, and T loops). The record is from Rfam by way of RNAcentral. Lineage: Eukaryota; Metazoa; Chordata; Mammalia; Artiodactyla; Bovidae. RNAcentral also lists the same sequence under 1 other name.
UGGCUCAGACGGUAAAGCGUCUGCCUACAAUGCGGGAGAUCCAGGUUCAAUCCCUGG